UGACAGCCAAGAUAAACGUCAAUAAUGAAAAUGUCAACUGCUGCUUGCUUGUUAUUGUAUUUUUAUUCGUUUUUAAACAAUAAUUUUAGUUUUAAGUAAAUAACAAUGGUAGUGAACGCUCCAGACUCGCCUGUACAGGCUGAAGUGAUAUUCGUAAUAGAGGCUACGGCUGCUAAUAGCGCGUAUAUAGGAGAACUGAAGACAAAUUACAUAGUCCCCACAUUAGAAUAUUUCCAUGGAGGGCCAUUAGAGGAAGGAGGUGGGAGUGGGUCAGUGUAUGCCAUAGUUACAUAUAAAGCUGCUGACUGCCACCCUGGAGUUCCUGUGGCCACCUUCGGACCCUACACAAGUCCACAAUCAGUUGUGGAAACUGUUGAUAAAAUACAAUACAUAGGUGGUCAUGCAGAGAGUCGAGCAUGUGUCACAGAGGCACUCACGGCAGCGCUGGCUUGUUUUGAUGAGCUCGGCAGAACAGAUAUACCAAUACACGUUCUGUUGUUAUGCUGUUCACCUCCUUACUCGGCAUAUGCUGGUGGUCUGGUUCCUGCAGGUGCCCCAGCGACAGUAGAGCAAGCGGCGCGGCUGCUAGGCGAGCGCGGGGCGCAGGUGUCGGUGGCCGCAGCCCGGAGAGUGCCCGCACUGCACGCGCUAUACGAACACGCGGGGGGAGAGCUGCAUCAGGCGCAGCAGAGGAACUAUGCUAAGGACCCGCGUCACUUGGUGCUACUCCGCGGGUACAGUCUGAAGGAGCGGCCGCCGAGCCCCGCGCCGCCGCCCGUGCCCGACAUACAAGCUGAUGUCUACGGACAAGGUCGCGGCACCGCCGUGCCGGCGCGGCCCGGGGCGCAGACGUUCCCGCGGCCCGGCGUCGCCGCUACUGCCGGCGUGGGGCCCGUCGGCAAUGUGGCGGGGGUACCCGGGGUCGCUGGCGUUGGUAAUGCAGCUUGUGGUCGCGGUGCCGGUAACUGGCUGGCUCCGCCUCGGGCCCCUCUCUACGCGAACAAUUCUGCGCUGCUCACUCAACUAGCUCAGCCGUCCUACCCGCCGCCGCCGCCGCCGCCCGCACAUGCCGCACAGCGUAUGCCAUCGAUGGUGACUCCCGGACCCUCAGGGGCGCAGCUGCAGCGCUCGUACAUCUGGAGCGGCGUCAUCGAGUGGAUGGAGAAGGGCAAGCAGCCCGGAGACCAGCAGAAGACUACCAAGCACCUGCCUUGUCAGGUAUCAGCCAGCACAAAGGACAUAGAACCAGAACUCAAAGUAGACACCUGGCCGAACAAGUUGCUGAUGCAGCUGAUGCCGAAGCAGCUGAUCAGCAACAUCGGCGGCCAGUAUCUGAAGGACAGCAAGUCUGUGCUGUUUCAUUUGCAGCCCAGUGAGGCGUUGGAUUCCUUGACUAAGGUCAUGGUUAAUGGUUUUGCGGGUUGCGUCCACUUCUCCCCGAUGCCGACGCCGCCGCAGUGCGACAUCAAAGUGCUCAUUCUACUGUAUACGCCCGACAAGAAGGCGUACCUAGGCUUUAUACCGAAUAACCAGGCUACUUUUGUGGACCGGUUGAGGAAGGUGAUUCAACAACAGAAGAUCAGCCAGAUUAUCAGCAAGCAGCAGCUACCGGCUGCCGUCAGUAACGCGGGCGGCAUGGCGCAGAAUAUGCCUAAUGCUACCAUGGCUGGUUCAAGCGCCAUGUCCAACGCCGGCAUGACAUCGGGCGGGCUAGGCGCUGGGAUGGCGGGUGGGAUGCAGCCAGUGGGCAACGUGGGCAGUGUGGGCAACGUGGGCAAUGUGGGCAACGUGGGGCAGAUGCCCGGCCCCGGCCCCAGCCAGGGCAUGGUGCAGUCGCAGAUGCAGCAGCAUCAACAGGGCAUGAUGAUAGGCGGUUCAAUCCAGCAGCAAGUACAACAAGUAGGCGGCAAGGGACCCCGCCCCGUCACACAACUAGACGGACUCGAAGCCGCCCGACAACAGAACUUAGAGAAAAUACAACAUCUACAGCAAACGUUAGAAGCCGCCCAUCAACAAGAAGCACAGUUCAAGUCGCAGAUGGACAUAAUGUCACACUUGCAUGCCGCCCAACAACAGGAACAACACUAUAAACAACUCGAGGUAUGUAACACAUAACAUACAGCAAACGUUAUAGGCCGCUUAACAACAAGAAGCACAGUUCAAGUCGAAGAUGGACAUAAUGUCACACUUGCAUGCCGCCCAACAACAGGAACAGCACUAUAAACAACUCGAGGUAUGUAACACGUAACAACAACAACAAGCACAGUUCAAGUCGCAGAUGGACAUAAUGUCACACUUGCAUGCCGCCCAACAACAGGAACAACACUAUAAACAACUCGAGGAGCAACAACGCAAACACCAGCUACAGCAACAGUUGCAGCAACAGAUCAGAGGAGCCCAGGGUGCCACACACCCGCCUCGCAUCAUGCGUCCGCUGUUGCCGUCCAACCCGGGCUUAAGGCAUCUGCUGCAACAGCAACAACAGCAGCCGCGCGGCGCUCGGCCUCACAUGUGAGCGACUGGACUCACGCACUUAGUCGCACAACAGCCGCAGUACAGGCCCGGGGGCGGAGCACCCCGGCCGGCGUCGCAGCCCCAACAGUUUGAUGACGUCAACAACUACUCCGAUUUUAUAUAGACUAAAUUAGUAAAUUUUUGGAUGAUUUAGGCCCAAGUUCUCUGACAACAUAUACUUCUGAUUUUCUUAAAACUGUUUACUUUGAAAAUUGAACGUAAAAAAUCUGUUGUUUUAAGAAAAUUUACGUUUUUUUGUCCUUCAAAUUGGACCUAAAAGUAUUGAUUUGUAAUGUGGAACGUCAAGUUUUGUGAAAUUAAGUAUACAUAUUUGAACGAUCUAUACAAAAUAGUUGCAAGUUAAGGAAAUGGAUCAUAAAUAAUUGUUGAUAAAAACUGAGGUAUACUGAGGAUGUGUAUGUAUUAAGUCUGUUUCCAAUAGUGAAUAUGAAUGUUUAUACAAAAUAGUAAUUAAGGAAUAAAUGAGUUUUUACAUA
Helicoverpa armigera (cotton bollworm) is the source of this 3011-nucleotide RNA transcript. It is a transcript of the gene named mediator of RNA polymerase II transcription subunit 25, with no coding region annotated. Lineage: Eukaryota; Metazoa; Arthropoda; Insecta; Lepidoptera; Noctuidae. The transcript has 16 exons. The record is from RefSeq and is a predicted model, not a curated record.